Molecule: ribosomal RNA, 524 nt
Filed under: uncultured bacterium
Lineage: Bacteria
Description: partial 16S ribosomal RNA
Rfam family: Bacterial small subunit ribosomal RNA
Source: RNAcentral
GACGAACGCUGGCGGCGUGCCUAAUACAUGCAAGUCGAGCGCAGGAAGCCGUCUGAACCCUUCGGGGGGACGACGGUGGAAUGAGCGGCGGAUGGGUGAGUAACACGUAAAGAACCUGCCCAUAGGUCUGGGAUAACCACGAGAAAUCGGGGCUAAUACCGGAUGUGUCAUCGGACCGCAUGGUCCGCUGAUGAAAGGCGCUUCGGCGUCGCCCAUGGAUGGCUUUGCGGUGCAUUAGCUAGUUGGUGGGGUAACGGCCCACCAAGGCGACGAUGCAUAGCCGACCUGAGAGGGUGAUCGGCCACACUGGGACUGAGACACGGCCCAGACUCCUACGGGAGGCAGCAGUAGGGAAUCUUCCACAAUGGACGAAAGUCUGAUGGAGCAACGCCGCGUGAACGAUGAAGGCUUCCGGGUCGUAAAGUUCUGUUGUAAGGGAAGAACAAGUGCCGCGGGCAAUGGCGGCACCUUGACGGUACCUUGCGAGAAAGCCACGGCUAACUACGUGCCAGCCGCCGCCGUAA